CACAAAUCAAGGUAUUGGCGCGCCUCAAUUUGAAGUCAUGGUUAACAUGAAACAAGCCAUGUAGUUUUAAUUGAGCCGCGUCAAUAUCUCAUCUUGCACU
Molecule: non-coding RNA, 100 nt
Organism: Glycine soja
Lineage: Eukaryota; Viridiplantae; Streptophyta; Magnoliopsida; Fabales; Fabaceae
Source: Rfam